AUGAACGCUGGCGGCGUGCCUAAUACAUGCAAGUCGAGCGAACAGACGAGGAGCUUGCUCCUCUGACGUUAGCGGCGGCCGGGUGAGUAACACGUGGAUAACCUACCUAUAAGACUGGGAUAACUUCGGGAAACCGGAGCUAAUACCGGAUAAUAUAUUUAACCGCAUGGUUCAAUAGUGAAAGACGGUUUUGCUGUCACUUAUAGAUGGAUCCGCGCCGCAUUAGCUAGUUGGUAAGGUAACGGCUUACCAAGGCAACGAUGCGUAGACGACCUGAGAGGGUGAUCGGCCACACUGGAACUGAGACACGGUCCAGACUCCUACGGGAGGCAGCAGUAGGGAAUCUUCCGCAAUGGGCGAAAGCUUGACGGAGCAACGCCGCGUGAGUGAUGAAGGUCUUCGGAUCGUAAAACUCUGUUAUUAGGGAAGAACAAAUGUGUAAGUAACUAUGCACGUCUUGACGGUACCUAAUCAGAAAGCCACGGCUAACUACGUG
This 496-nucleotide ribosomal RNA is filed under the name uncultured bacterium. Its description in RNAcentral is "partial 16S ribosomal RNA". It matches the Rfam family "Bacterial small subunit ribosomal RNA", at positions 29 to 507 of the family's 1533-position model. The record is from RNAcentral.